This 253-nucleotide ribosomal RNA is filed under the name uncultured bacterium. RNAcentral's name for it is "partial 16S ribosomal RNA". It matches the Rfam family "Bacterial small subunit ribosomal RNA", at positions 524 to 776 of the family's 1533-position model. The record is from RNAcentral.
UACAGAGGGUGCGAGCGUUGUUCGGAAUUAUUGGGCGUAAAGGGCGCGUAGGCGGUGCGGUAAGUCACCUGUGAAAUCUCCUGGCUCAACUGGGAGCUUGCAGGCGAAACUGCCGUGCUGGAGUGUGGGAGAGGUGCGUGGAAUUCCUGGUGUAGCGGUGAAAUGCGUAGAUAUCAGGAGGAACACCUGUGGCGAAAGCGGCGCACUGGACCACAACUGACGCUGAGGCGCGAAAGCAUGGGGAGCGAACAGG